Molecule: ribosomal RNA, 264 nt
Filed under: uncultured bacterium
Lineage: Bacteria
Description: partial 16S ribosomal RNA
Rfam family: Bacterial small subunit ribosomal RNA
Source: RNAcentral
AUGCCUAACACAUGCAAGUCGAACGCGUGUAGCAAUACACGAGUGGCGCACGGGUGAGUAAUACGUGGGAACCUGCCCUGGAGUGGGGGAUAACCCGGCGAAAGCCGGGCUAAUACCGCAUACGACCUGAGGGUGAAAGAUUUAUCGCUCUUGGAGGGGCCCACGUCGGAUUAGCUAGUUGGUGAGGUAACGGCUCACCAAGGCAAUGAUCCGUAGCUGGUCUGAGAGGAUGAUCAGCCACACUGGGACUGAGACACGGCCCAG